Molecule: long non-coding RNA, 311 nt
Filed under: Ricinus communis (castor bean)
Lineage: Eukaryota; Viridiplantae; Streptophyta; Magnoliopsida; Malpighiales; Euphorbiaceae
Description: long non-coding RNA (RCOM_LNC001410)
Source: RNAcentral
UUAAACAAAUCUCAUCUCAAAUUAAUAUUAUUAAAACCACAAAUCAUCUUAAUAGUUACACUUUACAAAAAUUACUUCGGUCUACCAGAAAAACUAGACGAGACCCGAAGCUCAGAAAAUUUACAACUGAUACAUCUGCUAAUUACUACUGCGGAGAAUCUAAGAUUUACCAAUUUACAUACCAAAUCAGAUACGUCACCCGAUGAUGAAGGAGUCGGGUUACUGAAUAAGAGUCGCGAGAGAACUAACAGUCACGAAUCUGAAAAACAAUAAAUGGAGACUGUCAGUCUCGAGAGUGAGUUAAAAUCAAA